CUUAACACAUGCAAGUCGAGGGGCAGCAUGGUCUUAGCUUGCUAAGACUGAUGGCGACCGGCGCACGGGUGCGUAACACGUAUCCAAUCUGCCCGCGGCUCGGGGAUAGCCCAUCGAAAGAUGGAUUAAUACCCGAUGGUGUGGUUUCUCCGCAUGGUACAUUUGUGAGGCAUCUUACAGAUGUUAAAGAUUUAUCGGAAACGGAUAGGCUCGCGUGACAUUAGCUAGAUGGCGGGGUAACGGCCCACCUAGUCUACGAUGUCUAGGGGUUCUGAGAGGAAGGUCCCCCACACUGGAACUGAGACACGGUCCAGACUCCUACGGGAGGCAGCAGUGAGGAAUAUUGGUCAAUGGUCGGAAGACUGAACCAGCCAAGUAGCGUGAAGGAUGAAGGUUCUAUGGAUUGUAAACUUCUUUUAUACGGGAAUAAAACCUCCCACGUGUGGGAGCUUGUAUGUACCGUAUGAAUAAGCAUCGGCUAACUCCGUG
RNAcentral lists this ribosomal RNA (489 nucleotides) under uncultured bacterium. RNAcentral's name for it is "bacterial SSU rRNA". It matches the Rfam family "Bacterial small subunit ribosomal RNA", at positions 47 to 507 of the family's 1533-position model. The record is from RNAcentral.